GGAAGUGGAACAUUGGAAGAGUAACUGAGGUCUACCCAGGAGAAGACGGACAUGUGCGCAAUGUCAAGGUAACCACAGCUCAUGGAGAUUAUCGCCGACCAAUAACCAAGAUCGCAGUUAUUUACCCGGUUGAAGGAUAUGAGAACUGAUGAACUGGUCUGUGACAUCAACCUGUUUGUUAUGUGACUUCCUCGCAUAGGUGGGGAGGAUGUUUCGUCGAGUUUUGUUUAUUACGAACUGUCGCUUGAGGGCGCUAUAAUUGGCAACCGUUUUCCGAUAAACGCAUCAGUAACUGUAUUUCUCGAUAGCUUUACUGAUAUAAAAGGUUAUCUAAACUGCUUAAAUUUGUACUGAUACUGCUUAGAUUUACUGAUCGGCGAUUAGGGGGAUUACCGUUUUGAUUAACUGAACUGUAUGCUGUUUAUCUGGACUGAACUAUUAUUGCUGAACUGUUACUGAUCUGCUAGUUGUAUCCGGUCACAGAAAAUUGAAUGCUGAUUUAUUAAAAUCUUCAUACAUUAAACCCGGAUGCGACUCCAUUCUUUAAAUCCUCUGGCCUUCCAAUCUUCAAU
Long non-coding RNA from Asterias rubens (European starfish), 572 nucleotides. RefSeq lists it as uncharacterized. The transcript has 3 exons. The record is from RefSeq and is a predicted model, not a curated record. Lineage: Eukaryota; Metazoa; Echinodermata; Asteroidea; Forcipulatida; Asteriidae.